Molecule: long non-coding RNA, 581 nt
Organism: Sabethes cyaneus
Lineage: Eukaryota; Metazoa; Arthropoda; Insecta; Diptera; Culicidae
Exons: 4
Source: RefSeq, a predicted model, not a curated record
GUCGGCGUGUUGCGGGACACAAUAUGGAACGAGUGGAUAAUGUUUAGCUAGCUAAUUGUUUUUCGGCACUAUUAAUGCAAUGGAAAAGUUGAUCUGCCGUUGCUAUUGGUGCAGUUUGUAUGAUACUACGAGCUGCUUUUCCUAAACCUGUUUCGGAACUAUGAAUGGAACGAUCGGGAAGAUCCGGCAAAUCAUACGACGUUUGGGAACUUGUUACCGGUCGUAGUUGUUAUCGUGAUGUGUUUGCUGCUAGAGAAGCCGGUAUUCCCGCAACCCGCUAACUGAUCGAACCUUCGGAAUAACAAAAACAAACGGUACGGAGGAGCUUGCUUUGUAUUACGAAAACGAUUAAAGUAACCGACACUUUCUUAAAAAACAAUUGCUAACAGAAUUCCUGAUUUUAUUCGGAUUACGCAACAUGGCACGAUGAAAAUGGAACUGGUUGCUGCUCGGUGCUACAUAGACUUGCGGCUACAAGUUCUUGGUUUGAACACUGUGCUAACUCCAACUAAAGCACCAAACGGAUUGAAACCAGCAAUAGAAAUUUAAUUAGAUCCUAAAUUGAGAUAUUAUAACUUUAA